Molecule: long non-coding RNA, 442 nt
Filed under: Equus caballus (horse)
Lineage: Eukaryota; Metazoa; Chordata; Mammalia; Perissodactyla; Equidae
Description: lncRNA (ENSECAG00000047789.1)
Source: RNAcentral
GGGAGGAGGUGAGGGCCUGAGGGAGGAGGUGAAGGCCUGAGGGAGGAGGUGAGGGUCUGAGACAGAAGUAGAUAGUCUGAGGGAAGGAAGAAGGUCUGAGGGAGAUGAACAGGUCUGAGGAAGGAGGUGGGGGCCUGAGGGAGGAGGUGAGGGUCUGAGGGUGGAGGUGAGGGCCUGAGGGAGGAGAGAGGGCCUGAGGGAGGAGGUGAGGGCCUGAGGGAGGAGAGAGGGUCUGAGGGAGGAGGUGAGGGUCUGAGGGAGGAGAGAGGGCCUGAGGGAGGAGGUGAGGGCCUGAGGGAGGAGGUGAGGGCCUGAGGGAGGAGGUGAGGGUCUGAGGGAGGAGAGAGGGUCUGAGGGAGGAGGAGAGGGCCUGAGGGAGGAGGUGAGGGCCUGAGGGAGGAGGUGAGGGUCUGAGGGAGGAGAGAGGGUCUGAGGGAGGAGG